CCAUCCUGAGUACGGGCAGUCCUCCUGGGGCACAAAGGUGGAGCUGUUUAUGGUCUCCUGGAGUCAGGGUGGGUCAUCCCUUCAGUUCCUGGAACAGUAGCUUUUACGAGCAUUGAUUACUAAGCAUAUUAGCUAUUACCUAAACUAAAAUUUUCCAAGUCUGGAGUCCCUAUCAGGAUGAUCAAAGGGGGUCUUUGAGGAAUCUGAACUCAAAGGUUCCUCAUCGUUGACUCCUUCCCCUGGGCACAUCCCUAGAGUAA
Molecule: long non-coding RNA, 260 nt
Organism: Phyllostomus discolor (pale spear-nosed bat)
Lineage: Eukaryota; Metazoa; Chordata; Mammalia; Chiroptera; Phyllostomidae
Exons: 3
Source: RefSeq, a predicted model, not a curated record